UACGAAGGGUGCAAGCGUUACUCGGAAUUACUGGGCGUAAAGGGUGCGUAGGUGGUCGUUUAAGUCCGUUGUGAAAUCCCUGGGCUCAACCUGGGAAUGGCAGUGGAUACUGGACGGCUAGAAUGCGGUAGAGGGUAGUGGAAUUCCCGGUGUAGCAGUGAAAUGCGUAGAGAUCGGGAGGAACACCAGUGGCGAAGGCGGCUACCUGGACCAGCAUUGACACUCAGGCACGAAAGCAUGGGGAUCAAACAGG
This 253-nucleotide ribosomal RNA is filed under the name uncultured bacterium. RNAcentral's name for it is "partial 16S ribosomal RNA". It matches the Rfam family "Bacterial small subunit ribosomal RNA", at positions 524 to 776 of the family's 1533-position model. The record is from RNAcentral.